This 424-nucleotide ribosomal RNA is filed under the name uncultured bacterium. RNAcentral's name for it is "bacterial SSU rRNA". It matches the Rfam family "Bacterial small subunit ribosomal RNA", at positions 355 to 775 of the family's 1533-position model. The record is from RNAcentral.
UGAGGAAUAUUGGUCGAUGGGCGCAAGCCUAAACCAGCCAUCCCGCGUGCAGGAAGACGGCCCUAUGGGUUGUAAACUGCUUUUCCAGAGGGAGAAACUUGCGCACGUGUUGCGCAAUUGACGGUACCCUGGGAAUAAGCAUCGGCUAACUCCGUGCCAGCAGCCGCGGUAAUACGGAGGAUGCGAGCGUUAUCGGGAUUCAUUGGGUUUAAAGGGUGCGUAGGCGGACUAUUAAGUCAGUGGUGAAAUCCUGCAGCUUAACUGCAGAACUGCCAUUGAUACUGAUAGCCUUGAGUUUGGUUAAGGUAGGCGGAAUGUGUAAUGUAGCGGUGAAAUGCUUAGAUAUUACACAGAACACCAAUUGCGUAGGCAGCUUACUGAGCCGACACUGACGCUGAGGCACGAAAGCGUGGGGAUCGAACAG